Non-coding RNA from Phascolarctos cinereus (koala), 828 nucleotides. The record is from RefSeq and is a predicted model, not a curated record. Lineage: Eukaryota; Metazoa; Chordata; Mammalia; Diprotodontia; Phascolarctidae.
GAGGAGAGAGUCAUAUCUUUCUGCUGUGUUUUCAGUCAUUACUAGCAUUGAACAGGGACAAGUGAGUGCAGCCAUGUGCCAAUGUAGCUGACACCCUCUAUGCAAUGAGCAGCAACAAUGUGAGGGCUUCUUCCCCUUUCUCACUGCACAGCCAACCUCCAUCUUUCACAAGUGUCUGGUGCUCUCUCCAAGAAGCAGCAUGGUUCAAGAUUUGCAUGCCUGCACUCUGGGCUCACUGGAGGUGAUCUGGAAGCUACUUCUCAGAUUACAUCAUGUUACCAAAUGCAGACUCUACUCAUUAGUGUGCUUUUCAACCAAAACCUUGUAUCCUUUGCCAGAUCCAAAUCAGCUUAAAGAAAUCACUUCUAAAAACCAAGACUCUUUCCUUUGGUGAUCCCAUAAGCUCCCAUGCAGUUUGCCGCUCUUCAGACAAGACACUCCAUCUCCUAAGGCAAAGCUAUCAAUUGGAAAAGGAGAAUCAUGGAAACCUGCUCUUCAGGGAGGAUGAAAAAAAAAUGGCAACCAGCAAAGCAAUGAAGGCAAUCUUAAUUUCUUCCUCUUAUCUCUGACAAGGACAAUGAUCUAUAAACUAGAAAGGACAAAGAAAUAGUUGAUAGGUGUUGAUGCACAGAAGAAGUAAGAGAGCAUCUAAGUGCCUUUGAUGUGUUCAAGUCUUCUAGUCCAGAUGGACUGCAUUCUAGGCUACUGCAAAGCUAGCAGAUGUGAUAACUGAGUGAUUAUCAGUAUCUUUAAAAGACUAGAGAGGGGAAGCUAGGUAGUACAAUGGAUAGAGCACUGGCCCUGGAUUCAGGAGGACCUCAGUCCAAA